This 460-nucleotide ribosomal RNA is filed under the name uncultured bacterium. Its description in RNAcentral is "partial 16S ribosomal RNA". It matches the Rfam family "Bacterial small subunit ribosomal RNA", at positions 338 to 795 of the family's 1533-position model. The record is from RNAcentral.
CCUACGGGUGGCAGCAGUGAGGAAUAUUGGUCAAUGGGCGAGAGCCUGAACCAGCCAAGUCGCGUGAAGGAUGAAGGCUCUAUGGUUUGUAAACUUCUUUUAUAUGGGGAUAAAGUGAGGCACGUGUUCCUUAUUGCAUGUACCCUAUGAAUAAGCAUCGGCUAACUCCGUGCCAGCAGCCGCGGUAAUACGGAGGAUGCGGGCGUUAUCCGGAUUUAUUGGGUUUAAAGGGUGCGUAGGUGGUUAAUUAAGUCAGCGGUGAAAGUUGGUGGCUCAACCAUAAAAGUGCCGUUGAAACUGGUUGACUUGAGUAUGCUUGAGGUAGGCGGAAUGCGUGGUGUAGCGGUGAAAUGCAUAUAUAUCACGCAGAACUCCGAUUGCGAAGGCAGCAUACUAAAGUGUAACUGACGCUGAAGCACGAAGGCGUGGGGAUCGAACAGGAUUAGAUACCCUUGUAGUC